Long non-coding RNA from Lutra lutra (Eurasian river otter), 1827 nucleotides. RefSeq lists it as uncharacterized. Lineage: Eukaryota; Metazoa; Chordata; Mammalia; Carnivora; Mustelidae. The transcript has 3 exons. The record is from RefSeq and is a predicted model, not a curated record.
GCUGCGGGGCACAGGGGCAGGCAGCCCGUCAGCCCGCGGGCAGGGCAGAGCCCCCCGGUCCUGGCAGGCGCUCCCUUGGCCCCGCAGGGCCACUGCGUGUGCCCGGGAAGCCCGUGUGGUGCCCAGGCCCCGGGCCUGCCCGGCGGUCCCGGCCCUGUUGCUGGGCCACCCGCGCACGUCUGCCAACUUUCUUUGUGUAAAUGGAGAGACUUCCUGCUAUUCAAUUCCAGGAGGACACGCUCGCCUGGCCUGCUUCCUGCUUCCCGUGAGGGAGUGUGGGCUGCACACGGGGCGCCUCCAUCAGCCGGGCCAGGGCUGGCCUCACCGCCUGGAUGGCUACAGAAAGGGAUGGCUGGCGGAGGCUUCAGGGCUCUGGGUCCCCUGGGGCUUGGCUGCCCAUCUGGCUUCCCUAGCCAGGUGCACUAGGCCAGGCUGAUGAGGCUCCCAGGGAAGGCAGGGACACCCCCCUGCCCCCCAAACCCUGGCCGAGAUGCUGGAAGCAGGAAGCAGGGCCACGGGGACCUGUCUCUGCCUAAGCCACUGAGGGGGAGGAUCUGGGGGAGCACCGGGUAGGGGUGACUGUUCCCUCCCCCUUCUUGGCCUAGAACCCCCAGGAGAGAUCCUGUAAGAGCAGCUGCUCCCCACCGUCCUCUUCUCCCACUCAGAAGCCUCCUUCACGAACCACAGACCUCCUGCCUCCACACCCAGCCACGGCCCGGCUGCCCGGGUCCAAACCUCUCUGGGAGGCUGGGAAAACGCCCUCCCCGCCAGCCACAGAAGAGAACACUGAAGAAGAAAAGGCACUUUCAGAGCGUCUGGCUGGGUCACCGGUGCCAAAGGAGGUGGUGUGAGCACAGGCACCACCCCGCCGGAGGGAAGCCCGGGAAAGCUGAGCCUCCAGCUACAGAGCGAGGAGUAGCACACGGAACGAGCAGAAGGACACACACUGUCUGAAGUCUGCCCAGCCCCACGAGAAGGGGCCACACCCCCCCCAACCCCCAGGGACUCGGGAACAUUAGCUCCUGAGGACCUUGAACACACAGCCGGCGGUGGGACCUGGCUGCAGAAAGGACUCCUGGUAGGUGCGAUCGGCCCAGAAAGCCCCAGUCUGCCUGGCGGAAGGACAGCGGCCACGCCCCCGAGAGCCUGUCAGUGACGCUCCUGGGGCCCAGCACUCAGCCUCAUCACACAGGUCAAGCCAUUUUCAGGCAGGAGCAGGAGGUGAGAGCCCUGACUCCUGAGCUUGGGCAGGCCUCCUACUCUGGAAACAGGGGCUACGCUCUGAUGCCCCAGCUCAGGACUUGGGCUGAGAUGGCAGGGAGAAGGCACAGGGGAACUCCUCCUGGCCUCUGAGAACUGCCCCCACGACAACACACACAUACACCCGCAGAGGGGCCUGCCUGGGCCCCCGGAGCACUAGCUGCUAGAGCCCCCCAGAAUGCGGGUCGGCUAGGGGGAGCUGCUCCUUCGCGGGGGCAGUGCCCACCUCCCCAGGGCCCCUCCCAGUGUCAGGGUCUCCUGCUGUGGCCCCCAGUCAGCUGUAGCCACCCCAGCUUCGAGGCAGGCACCCCCCGCAGGAGGAGGGCCACACACCAGGCACCCAAGUGUUCUCUACCCUGGAGACCGGCGAGCAGCAGCCCCCUUGCCACACCAGAGGUUCGUCACCCACUACCCAGCUCGGCAGUCAGAACCGGACUCAGCAGGUCCCGAGGAGGUCAGCUGGUCUCGCUCCUGUGGGGCGGGAGGGGUGUGGCAGGCUGGGCCCACGCUGCGGUUCGAUGCUGAGCCUCCCGCCCUGUGGGAGCAGGCAAGAGACACACUCUGUGC